CAGUCGAACGAGAGAUGAGGAGCUUGCUCUUCAAAUCGAGUGGCGAACGGCUGAGUAACGCGUGAGGAACCUGCCUCAAAGAGGGGGACAACAGUUGGAAACGACUGCUAAUACCGCAUAAGCCCACGGCUCGGCAUCGAGCAGAGGGAAAAGGAGCAAUCCGCUUUGAGAUGGCCUCGCGUCCGAUUAGCUAGUUGGUGAGGUAAUGGCCCACCAAGGCGACGAUCGGUAGCCGGACUGAGAGGUUGAACGGCCACAUUGGGACUGAGACACGGCCCAGACUCCUACGGGAGGCAGCAGUGGGGAAUAUUGCACAAUGGGGGAAACCCUGAUGCAGCGACGCCGCGUGGAGGAAGAAGGUCUUCGGAUUGUAAACUCCUGUUGUUGAGGAAGAUAAUGACGGUACUCAACAAGGAAGUGACGGCUAACUACGUGCCAGCAGCCGCGGUAAAACGUAGGUCACAAGCGUUGUCCGGAAUUACUGGGCGUAAAGGGAGCGCAGGCGGGAGAACAAGUUGGAAGUGAAAUCCAUGGGCUCAACCCAUGAACUGCUUUCAAAACUGUUUUUCUUGAGUAGUGCAGAGGUAGGCGGAAUUCCCGGUGUAGCGGUGGAAUGCGUAGAUAUCGGGAGGAACACCAGUGGCGAAGGCGGCCUGCUGGGCACCAACUGACG
RNAcentral lists this ribosomal RNA (673 nucleotides) under uncultured bacterium. Its description in RNAcentral is "bacterial SSU rRNA". It matches the Rfam family "Bacterial small subunit ribosomal RNA", at positions 59 to 745 of the family's 1533-position model. The record is from RNAcentral.